RNAcentral lists this ribosomal RNA (464 nucleotides) under uncultured bacterium. RNAcentral describes it as "partial 16S ribosomal RNA". It matches the Rfam family "Bacterial small subunit ribosomal RNA", at positions 338 to 794 of the family's 1533-position model. The record is from RNAcentral.
CCUACGGGAGGCAGCAGUGGGGAAUAUUGCGCAAUGGGCGAAAGCCUGACGCAGCGACGCCGCGUGAGGGAUGAAGGUCUUCGGAUCGUAAACCUCUGUCAGCAGGGAAGAACGGUCACUGUGCUAAUCAGCAGUGAAUUGACGGUACCUGCAAAGGAAGCACCGGCUAACUCCGUGCCAGCAGCCGCGGUAAUACGGAGGGUGCGAGCGUUAAUCGGAAUUACUGGGCGUAAAGCGCUCGUAGGCGGUAUGUCAAGUCAAGGGUGAAAUCCCCGCGCUCAACGUGGGAACUGCCUUUGAAACUGGCAAACUGGGGUGUGUGAGAGGAUGGUGGAAUUCCAGGUGUAGGAGUGAAAUCCGUAGAUAUCUGGAGGAACAUCAGUGGCGAGGGCGACUAUCUGGCACAUAACUGACGCUGAGGAGCGAACGCGUGGGUAGCAAACGGGAUUGGGUACCCUCGUCGU